Molecule: ribosomal RNA, 132 nt
Filed under: Streptomyces sp. SID8366
Lineage: Bacteria; Bacillati; Actinomycetota; Actinomycetes; Kitasatosporales; Streptomycetaceae
Description: partial 23S ribosomal RNA
Rfam family: Bacterial large subunit ribosomal RNA
Source: RNAcentral
CGAGAUGAGGACUCCCACCCACUUGAUGGGGUAAGGCUCCCAGUAGACGACUGGGUUGAUAGGCCGGAUCUGGAAGCCAGGUAACUGGUGGAGGUGACCGGUACUAAUAGGCCGAGGGCUUGUCCUCAGUUG